RNAcentral lists this long non-coding RNA (817 nucleotides) under Homo sapiens (human). RNAcentral describes it as "HSALNT0298560". The record is from RNAcentral. Lineage: Eukaryota; Metazoa; Chordata; Mammalia; Primates; Hominidae.
CCCUGUCUCCUUUGUUUGGUGUACUCUCGUGGCAAAACUCCUGAUCAUCCUGCAGUGAUUUCUUCCUGGUCAGGUGCCCUGGUUGAAGUCCAUGACGUCUCUUCCUGGCAAAGCCUGUUUAGAGCUGUUAUAUCCUGGUCCGGAUAAAAUAAGCCAGCUAGCUCGAGAAGGAAACUAUUGUCUUGGGAACUUGAGUGCCUGGAUCGUGGUGAGCUGGAGCUGAGUGCCCGAUACAUUCCAGCUGCCUCUUCAUGUCCAGUCUACACCCUCCAUCCUGCUGCCUGGGAGCUGAUCUCUAUGGGUAUCUCACCGGGGGCCCAGGGCCUAUGGCUGCUGGGGGCCAGAAGAAGGGAGGAGUGCAGUUAGGGUGUUUCUUCCCUGGCUCCUUCUCUGAGAGCGUGGCUCGGCUCCAUGUGGCUGUGUCCCGUGACUGCGGGGCAGGUUGCACCUGCACAUGAACCACUUUCACUGCUAGAAUCUGACAAUUGUCCCCAACUCACAGCUCCAGACCCUCUUCUGGGAAGGACUCAGCCACGCUUCCUCCUCGGAUCACAGAAGACUCCAGAUGCAAGCUGUCUGUUUGCAACAGUGUGCAGGGCUUCUCUGACUGGGAGGCUGCUCCUGUCAGCUGUUCACCUUCUUCACUGACUCCAGAGUGUGCACGUGAGCCUGCCUGGAGGCGCUUGGACAAUCAUUUACCCCAUUUAAAAAAAACUGGCCUGCGUUCUUGACUGCAAAAACUCAUUAUCAUAAAAAUGCCAUGUCCUCUUAAGUUAGCCUAUAAACUUAAUGUAAUGCUAAUAAAAAUAGCAAUAGG